UACGGAGGGUACAAGCGUUAAUCGGAAUUACUGGGCGUAAAGCGCACGCAGGCGGUCUGUCGAGUCGGAUGUGAAAUCCCCGGGCUCAACCCGGGAACUGCAUUCGAUACGGGCAGUCUAGAGUCUUGUAGAGGGGGGUAGAAUUCCAGGUGUAGCGGUGUAAUGCGUAGAUAUCUGGAGGAAUACCGGUGGCGAAGGCGGCCCCCUGGACGAUGACUGACGCUCAGGUGCGAAAGCGUGGGGAGCAAACAGG
RNAcentral lists this ribosomal RNA (253 nucleotides) under uncultured bacterium. RNAcentral describes it as "partial 16S ribosomal RNA". It matches the Rfam family "Bacterial small subunit ribosomal RNA", at positions 524 to 776 of the family's 1533-position model. The record is from RNAcentral.